This 116-nucleotide ribosomal RNA is filed under the name Pteropus alecto (black flying fox). Lineage: Eukaryota; Metazoa; Chordata; Mammalia; Chiroptera; Pteropodidae. The record is from RNAcentral.
GUCUACGGCCAUGUCACCCUGAACAAGCCUGAUGUCUGAUCUCGAAAGUUAAGCAGGGUCGGGCCUGGUUAAUACUUGGAUGGGAGACCACCUAGGAAGACCAGGUGCUGUAGGCA